RNAcentral lists this ribosomal RNA (468 nucleotides) under uncultured bacterium. RNAcentral describes it as "partial 16S ribosomal RNA". It matches the Rfam family "Bacterial small subunit ribosomal RNA", at positions 28 to 507 of the family's 1533-position model. The record is from RNAcentral.
GACGAACGCUGGCGGCGUGCUUAACACAUGCAAGUCGAACGGAAAGGCCCUGCGUUUGUGGGGUGCUCGAGUGGCGAACGGGUGAGUAACACGUGAGUAACCUGCCCUUGACUUUGGGAUAACUUCAGGAAACUGGGGCGAAUACCGGAGAUGAGCUCCUGAUGCAUGUUGGGGGUUGGAAAGUUUCGGCGGUUGGGGAUGGACUCGCGGGUUAUCAGCUUGUUUGUGUGGUAGUGGCUUACAAAGGUUUUGACGGGUAGCCCGCCUGAGAGGGUUACCGGCGACAUGGGGACUGAGAUACGGCCCAGACUCCUACGGGAGGCAGCAGUGGGGAAUAUUGCAGAAUGGGGGGAAGCCUGAUGCAGCAACGCCGCGAGCGGGAUGACGGCUUUCGGGUUGUAAACCGAUUUCGACUGUGCCGAAGCGUGCGUGACGGUAAUGGGUCAAGAAGCAACGGCUAACUACGUG